AUCAAUAGCCUAAGUGACAACGAC
RNAcentral lists this non-coding RNA (24 nucleotides) under Gossypium hirsutum (cotton). The record is from RNAcentral. Lineage: Eukaryota; Viridiplantae; Streptophyta; Magnoliopsida; Malvales; Malvaceae.